This is a long non-coding RNA of Frankliniella occidentalis (western flower thrips), 303 nucleotides long. RefSeq lists it as uncharacterized. The transcript is spliced from 2 exons. The record is from RefSeq and is a predicted model, not a curated record. Lineage: Eukaryota; Metazoa; Arthropoda; Insecta; Thysanoptera; Thripidae.
UAUUUAAUAAUACAGCAUUACUUUAUAUGCCCUAUUAAAAUUUCAGCACAAGUACAUUACAUUCAAAGCUCACUAAGGAAAGUACCAUACGAGAAAAGAUAAAAGUGUUACACAAUGGCCCAAAAGUGAUUCUAUCCUCAGACAAUAGGCAGAGAAAAAGACUCUUAGAUAGAUAGAUAAAACAGGAAGCAGAAAUCAAUUUGAUUGAGGCAUGGUAUGGUAUGAAGGAGCUAUGUAUAAAGCAGUGGACAGAAAGAAAUUAAUUUAAAAAAAAGAAAGAAAAAAAAGAGACAAGAGCCAAGU